RNAcentral lists this ribosomal RNA (253 nucleotides) under uncultured bacterium. Its description in RNAcentral is "partial 16S ribosomal RNA". It matches the Rfam family "Bacterial small subunit ribosomal RNA", at positions 524 to 776 of the family's 1533-position model. The record is from RNAcentral.
UACAGAGGGUGCGAGCGUUGUCCGGAAUCACUGGGCGUAAAGGGCGCGUAGGUGGCCGAGUAAGCGUGUGGUGAAAGCCCGGGGCUCAACCCCGGGUCGGCCAUGCGAACUGCUUGGCUUGAGCAUAGUAGAGGCAAGUGGAAUUCCGGGUGUAGCGGUGGAAUGCGUAGAGAUCCGGAAGAACACCGGUGGCGAAGGCGGCUUGCUGGGCUAUUGCUGACACUGAGGCGCGACAGCGUGGGGAGCAAACAGG